This 342-nucleotide ribosomal RNA is filed under the name Triticum aestivum (bread wheat). RNAcentral describes it as "partial small subunit ribosomal RNA". Lineage: Eukaryota; Viridiplantae; Streptophyta; Magnoliopsida; Poales; Poaceae. The record is from RNAcentral.
AUGUCUUCGCCGAGUUCGUUGGAGGAAGAAGCAUCGAGUUCGCCGGAGGUACAAGAACAUCCGUCGAGCACUCCAAUGUCACCUGCAGCGGCUACACCAGAGGUCCUUAAGAUGAGUGAUGAACAUCCGUCAAGCCAUCCAAUGUUGCAUGUGGCGGCUACACCAGAGAAGGAAGCAGAAAUAGGCGUCCUGACAGUCAGCGACACCAAGAUAACCACAGGCGGCAUGGCCGUCAGCCCGACACCAAGGUUCUGGCUCCCACGGUCGGUCAACUUGACUCUGCUACAGGACAGCCACAUGGGCAUCGCACUGACUCGAAGACCACAUGCAUGUGGAGCAUGA